AUACAGAGGGUGCAAGCGUUAAUCGGAUUCACUGGGCGUAAAGCGCGCGUAGGUGGCUAAUUAAGUCAAAUGUGAAAUCCCCGAGCUUAACUUGGGAAUUGCAUUCGAUACUGGUUAGCUAGAGUAUGGGAGAGGAUGGGAGAAUUCCAGUUGUAGCGGUGAAAUGCGUAGAGAUCUGGAGGAAUAUCGAUGGCGAAGGCAGCCAUCUGGCCUAAUACUGACACUGAGGUGCGAAAGCAUGGGGAGCAAACAGGAUUAGAUACCCUGGUAGUCCAUGCCGUAAACGAUGUCUACUAGCCGUUGGGGCCCUUGAGGCUUUAGUGGCGCAGCUAACGCGAUAAGUAGACCGCCUGGGGAGUACGGUCGCAAGACUAAAACUCAAAGGAAUUGACGGGG
Molecule: ribosomal RNA, 396 nt
Filed under: uncultured bacterium
Lineage: Bacteria
Description: partial 16S ribosomal RNA
Rfam family: Bacterial small subunit ribosomal RNA
Source: RNAcentral